AAGGCGUAACAAGGUUUCCGUAGGUGAACCUGUGAAGGAUCAUUAACACAAAACUACCGUUAAACCCCCUGUGAACUUUCAUCGUGCUCUGCAUCCUAGGACAGUGUUCUGAAAGUGUCACUGACGGUGUCAGAAAGCUUCACGGUAGGCCGAACACCGGCCGGCGUCAUGGUCACCGGGCUUACGUCCCAUCGAACAACCGAGUUACGUAUGUCUCCUCGACACAGCAAGUGCACCGUCGCGGGAGAAAAACGAACAACUGUUAACAAUGGACAUCUUGCUUCUC
This 286-nucleotide unclassified non-coding RNA is filed under the name fungal sp. RNAcentral's name for it is "partial internal transcribed spacer region". The record is from RNAcentral. Lineage: Eukaryota; Fungi.